UGGGGGAUCGUCUAAUGGUAGGACUGCAGAUUCUGAUUCUGCGUAUGAGGGUUCGAAUCCUUCUCCCCCAGCCA
This 74-nucleotide transfer RNA is filed under the name Candidatus Margulisiibacteriota bacterium. RNAcentral describes it as "tRNA-Gln". It matches the Rfam family "tRNA". Rfam says of the family: Transfer RNA (tRNA) molecules are approximately 80 nucleotides in length. Their secondary structure includes four short double-helical elements and three loops (D, anti-codon, and T loops). Lineage: Bacteria; Bacillati; Candidatus Margulisiibacteriota. The record is from RNAcentral.